UUAGAGUUUGAUCCUGGCUCAGGAUGAACGCUAGCGGCAGGCUUAACACAUGCAAGUCGAGGGGCAGCGAGAUCAGUGCUUGCACUGAUUGUCGGCGACCGGCGCACGGGUGCGUAACGCGUAUGCAACCUACCCAUUACAGGGGGAUAACACUGAGAAAUCGGUACUAAUACCCCAUAACAUCCAGGGAGGCAUCUUCUUGGGUUGAAAACUCCGGUGGUAAUGGAUGGGCAUGCGUUGUAUUAGUUAGUUGGUGGGGUAACGGCUCACCAAGACAACGAUACAUAGGGGGACUGAGAGGUUAACCCCCCACAUUGGUACUGAGACACGGACCAAACUCCUACGGGAGGCAGCAGUGAGGAAUAUUGGUCAAUGGACGCAAGUCUGAACCAGCCAUGCCGCGUGCAGGAAGACGGCUCUAUGAGUUGUAAACUGCUUUUGUACGAGGGUAAACGCAGAUACGCGUAUCUGUCUGAAAGUAUCGUACGAAUAAGGAUCGGCUAACUCCGUGCCAGCAGCCGCGGUAAUACGGAGGAUUCAAGCGUUAUCCGGAUUUAUUGGGUUUAAAGGGUGCGUAGGCGGUCGGAUAAGUUAGAGGUGAAAUCCCGGGGCUCAACUUCGGAAUUGCCUCUGAUACUGUUCGGCUAGAGAGUAGUUGCGGUAGGCGGAAUGUAUGGUGUAGCGGUGAAAUGCUUAGAGAUCAUACAGAACACCGAUUGCGAAGGCAGCUUACCAAGCUACUUCUGACGUUGAGGCACGAAAGCGUGGGGAGCAAACAGGAUUAGAUACCCUGGUAGUCCACGCAGU
RNAcentral lists this ribosomal RNA (807 nucleotides) under uncultured bacterium. Its description in RNAcentral is "bacterial SSU rRNA". It matches the Rfam family "Bacterial small subunit ribosomal RNA", at positions 1 to 803 of the family's 1533-position model. The record is from RNAcentral.